Molecule: non-coding RNA, 2171 nt
Organism: Struthio camelus australis
Lineage: Eukaryota; Metazoa; Chordata; Aves; Struthioniformes; Struthionidae
Source: RefSeq, a predicted model, not a curated record
GGACUAUUUUAUGUCCAAGUCCAAGAAGUCCAAGAAGUCAUCCUGACAAGUUUGUUGAGUCUCCUACUUGCUACCCGAGUUCCAUAAACUUAGAAAGAUCUUGACCUCUAGAUGGGCAAAACAGCCACCAUCAUAAUCUGCUUUGACAGUUACAAGCAGUUUAAACCAGGAUUUUAGAAAUCAACUGACAAAUUUAACUACAGGCAAGUCCAAAUGCAAAUAAUUCUAGCAGAAGUUAGAAUUCAGCCAUGCUGAGAUACUUCUGUUAUCAAAGAAUUUUUUAUUCAGCUACAUCUGAUAUCCUUCAACAGGUAACAGUCUAAAUGCAAAGCAACUAUAUGGAAAGUUACCUGCCUGUAUCUGUCAGGAAAUAACACCAGUCAUUUACUGGCCUUUACUGCACUGGCAAUGACAGAAGAAAACAUUGUACCGUAGAAGAUCAAAGCUGAGCUCCCAAAUUCCAUGUUACAUGUACUUUGAAAGAGUGACGGCACAUCUAGUGUUACAAGUGCAUCAGACAUGCAGUCAAUGCCCGCAUCUGGCUCCUGUCCGUUCACUGAGAGACAAGGAAUGGUUGUUUCAGGUGCUGUGACCAGAAGACACGAAAACUAAUGACAGAGGAUCACCAAGGCUUGGCUGCUGGAGGGCUGCUGGAGUUGGUGGUGGUAACAGAAGAAAGAAGAGAAGAACCAAGAGGGACCAUGGCUGCGGGACAGCCAUCGUCGGGAACGAAAGCACCGGAUAGGAAGACCAGCGCUACUUCAGUGCCUCCCCCUCAACUCCCUCCUCGUAUGGGACGCCAGGCCAGGGCAAGCCUACUGGAGUCCACCACUCCUGAGCAACUGCACGAGAUGCUGUGAGUUAAUCACUACAGGCUUUGCUCCUGGAGAUUGGCAUACCCCAUCGGUGUGACCGGAUCACGGAUAUGGGUUGUACCCAAACAUGGUUUUAUACCGAGGAUCAGCACACCCCCACUGGUGUGGCUAGAUCACUUCUUUUUGUUUCCGGGGAUGGGCACGCCUGCCCAGCGCUACCUGAUCAGGGCAGUUGUUCCCCCCCUGCCCCCGCACACCUUUUUUUUUUAUAUAGACAUGUCAGUAUCGUUCAUAAUUUUAUUUACUGUGGAACCUCAUUUGCCUUGUUGUUAUUUUUCCCAGAAGCCUCCACUAAAUAUCAUUAUAUAUAGUUACUGUAGGUCUGUAUUGAUUGUUUAGCUGAAAUCAGUAAAGUUACAUUAUUUGUAAGUCCAUUGAUCCAAAUACUGUAACCCUAUACCACCUAAACGAACCCAAUUCCAAUUAGUAUUCCAAUAUUUGAUAAGUCCCAAAGAGAAUAAUCAGUUUUCCAAAAUGCCCUUUAACUGGCGUGGGAGCUCCUCUGCUAUGGACCGGGACACUGGGCUAUUGUUACUGUCUGUCAAAGUUCCUAUUCACAAAGUAACUGAAUUAAAGCUGAGCAACCUUAAUGCCCUUUGCAUGUAAAAUUUUGAGAAGUAAUUUUAUACGUAGGAACAGAAUUUUCCUCCUGAUGCAUAAAGCUGCAACUGCACUAACUAUGCCAAAGCUGAAAUGACAGACCAUGGCCCACCCAGGCAAAAGUUUCUGGCAUUCAUUAUGCUUUCCAAACCACUAAGAUUCUCCAAGGAAAAUCUCUGGCUGAGCCAAGAAUAAGGGUGAGUGCGAUGUACAGAAGAUGGAGGUCUUUGGGGACUAAGUGUGACUUUUUACUUUCUUCUCCACAGAGAAUAAAAUCUAUUCUUCAUGAGUGGGAUGUUUAGUGGAGGAACAGUACUGACUUCACAAGUGGACUCCCUGUAGCAACUAAACAUGCAUUAAACUUGAGGCCUUUUCCAUAGCUAAUGGAGGGAAAAGAUGACAAACACAUGUCCUUUUAUAGAGGUAAUGCUUUAACCCCUAUGGCUGGAGUCAAUCCAAGAGCCAAGAGAGCUUUAGUUCUUGUGAAGGAGGUGUAGAAAGUGAGACAAUCCCAUGAAACUGGAAAUGGAGACGUCAAAGGUACUGUCAAUCCAAUUUUAUGAAAUUCCUGUGGUAGAUGCAAAUCCUUUCCAAAUGCUACAUUCUGUUUCUUCACCUCGUCUUCCAUUUUAAUGGAUGUUUUGCAACAUGGAUAUUGGGAUUCCUUUUCAAGUGAAAAUAUGUUUUUAUUUCCUA